GGCCAGGGCCCCAGGCUGUGUUCAUACACUGACUGCACAGAAAGAGGAGGCAGAGUAAACCUACUCCACACACAUCCAGCUCAGCGCAGGCCCUUUGCCUGGUCUGUACUGUGAAUAGGGGAACGGAG
Pipistrellus kuhlii (Kuhl's pipistrelle) is the source of this 128-nucleotide small nucleolar RNA. RefSeq annotates it as small nucleolar RNA SNORA51. Lineage: Eukaryota; Metazoa; Chordata; Mammalia; Chiroptera; Vespertilionidae. The transcript has a single exon. The record is from RefSeq and is a predicted model, not a curated record.